RNAcentral lists this ribosomal RNA (301 nucleotides) under uncultured bacterium. RNAcentral's name for it is "partial 16S ribosomal RNA". It matches the Rfam family "Bacterial small subunit ribosomal RNA", at positions 509 to 807 of the family's 1533-position model. The record is from RNAcentral.
CAGCAGCCACGGGAAUACGAAGGGGGCUAGCGUUGUUCGGAUUUACUGGGCGUAAAGCGUGCGCAGGCGGUUCGUUAAGACAGAUGUGAAAUCCCCGGGCUUAACCUGGGAACUGCAUUUGUGACUGGCGAGCUAGAGUAUGGCAGAGGGGGGUAGAAUUCCACGUGUAGCAGUGAAAUGCGUAGAGAUGUGGAGGAAUACCGAUGGCGAAGGCAGCCCCCUGGGCCAAUACUGACGCUCAUGCACGAAAGCGUGGGGAGCAAACAGGAUUAGAUACCCGCGUAGUCCCUGUCUCUUAUAC